CCUACGGGUGGCAGCAGUGAGGAAUAUUGGUCAAUGGGCGCGAGCCUGAACCAGCAAAGUAGCGUGAAUGAUGACUGCCCUCCGGGUUGUAAACUUCUUUUAUAAAGGAAUAAAGUGAGGCACGUGUGCCUUUUUGUAUGUAUUUUAUGUAUCAAGAUCGGCUAACUCAGUGCCAGCAGCCGAGGUAAUACGGAGGAUACGAGCGUUAUCCGGAUAUAUUGGGUUUAAAGGGAGCGUAGCUGGGAUGUUAAGUCAGUUGUGAAAGUUUGCGGCUCAACCGUAAAAUUGCAAUUGAUACUGGCAGCCUUGAGUACAGGUGAGGUAGGCGGAAUUCGUGGUGUAGCGGUGAAAUGCUUAGAUAUCACGAAGAACUCCGAUUGCGAAGGCAGCUUACUAACCUGCCACUGACAUUGAUGCUCGAAAGUGUGGGUAUCAAACAGGAUUAGAUACCCUGGUAGUC
RNAcentral lists this ribosomal RNA (460 nucleotides) under uncultured bacterium. RNAcentral describes it as "partial 16S ribosomal RNA". It matches the Rfam family "Bacterial small subunit ribosomal RNA", at positions 338 to 795 of the family's 1533-position model. The record is from RNAcentral.